AGAGUUUGAUCCUGGCUCAGAGCGAACGCUGGCGGCAGGCUUAACACAUGCAAGUCGAACGGGCACCUUCGGGUGUCAGUGGCAGGCGGGUGAGUAACACGUGGGAACGUGCCCUUUGGUUCGGGACAACUCCGGGAAACUGGAGCUAAUACCGGAUACGCCCUUCGGGGGAAAGAUUUAUCGCCAAAGGAUCGGCCCGCGUCUGAUUAGCUAGUUGGUAGGGUAAUGGCCUACCAAGGCGACGAUCAGUAGCUGGUCUGAGAGGAUGAUCAGCCACACUGGGACUGAGACACGGCCCAGACUCCUACGGGAGGCAGCAGUGGGGAAUAUUGGACAAUGGGCGCAAGCCUGAUCCAGCCAUGCCGCGUGAGUGAUGAAGGCCUUAGGGUUGUAAAGCUCUUUUGUCCGGGAAGAUAAUGACUGUACCGGAAGAAUAAGCCCCGGCUAACUUCGUGCCAGCAGCCGCGGUAAUACGAAGGGGGCUAGCGUUGCUCGGAAUCACUGGGCGUAAAGGGCGCGUAGGCGGAUACUUAAGUCAGGGGUGAAAGCCUGAGGCUCAACCUCAGAAUUGCCUUUGAUACUGAGUAUCUCGAGACCGGAAGAGGUAAGUGGAACUGCGAGUGUAGAGGUGAAAUUCGUAGAUAUUCGCAAGAACAUCAGUGGCGAAGGCGGCUUACUGGUCCGGUUCUGACGCUGAGGCGCGAAAGCGUGGGGAGCAAACAGGAUUAGAUACCCCCGUAGUCC
Molecule: ribosomal RNA, 744 nt
Filed under: uncultured Hyphomicrobiales bacterium
Lineage: Bacteria; Pseudomonadati; Pseudomonadota; Alphaproteobacteria; Hyphomicrobiales
Description: bacterial SSU rRNA
Rfam family: Bacterial small subunit ribosomal RNA
Source: RNAcentral